RNAcentral lists this ribosomal RNA (497 nucleotides) under uncultured bacterium. RNAcentral's name for it is "partial 16S ribosomal RNA". It matches the Rfam family "Bacterial small subunit ribosomal RNA", at positions 28 to 507 of the family's 1533-position model. The record is from RNAcentral.
GAUGAACGCUGGCGGCGUGCCUAAUACAUGCAAGUAGAACGCUGAAGGAAGGAGCUUGCUCUUUCCGGAUGGGUUGCGAACGGGUGAGUAACGCGUAGGUAACCUGCCUGGUAGCGGGGGAUAACUAUUGGAAACGAUAGCUAAUACCGCAUAACAGUAGAUGUUGCAUGAUAUCUACUUAAAAGGUGCAAUUGCACCACUACCAGAUGGACCUGCGUUGUAUUAGCUAGUUGGUGAGGUAACGGCUCACCAAGGCGACGAUACAUAGCCGACCUGAGAGGGUGAUCGGCCACACUGGGACUGAGACACGGCCCAGACUCCUACGGGAGGCAGCAGUAGGGAAUCUUCGGCAAUGGACGGAAGUCUGACCGAGCAACGCCGCGUGAGUGAAGAAGGUUUUCGGAUCGUAAAGCUCUGUUGUAAGAGAAGAACGAGUGUGAGAGUGGAAAGUUCACACUGUGACGGUAUCUUACCAGAAAGGGACGGCUAACUACGUG